This 1046-nucleotide long non-coding RNA is filed under the name Coturnix japonica (Japanese quail). RNAcentral describes it as "lncRNA (ENSCJPG00005012912.1)". Lineage: Eukaryota; Metazoa; Chordata; Aves; Galliformes; Phasianidae. The record is from RNAcentral.
GCACACUGUGUAUUGAUACAAGCAGCAGAGUCAUUGCCAUUGGAAUGUCAGACAAGCUCUUGCUCCAGAUACGGAGAGAAUGGUAUUCAAGCAUAGCUCAUCCAUAGACGUGGAAGUUGUUUUCCAGGUACCAAACAAGAAUUUCACUCUUCUCCUUGUACCCAUAGCUUUAGAGUUAGCCAGAGGCAAGACUAGCUUCCAUUUUGCCAGCCAAUUCACUCUAAAACUCAGAGACAUAAAUACAAUAAUGCACAAUGAAAAGGAUGGCUGAAGGUGAUCUAAGCUUUCUCUUCCCUUCUAUUUUGCAAGCAUGCAAGAAGUACUAUUCAGCUGUGGAGAAGAACUCAUUCUGUCCGAGUUUCUAUUUUCCAUCAAACCAGGAGUUCAAGAAUUUCCUCCCUUGAAGAACCUACAGUCUUAUGACAAUCCAUCUUGUCAUAAUGAGACAUUCAUCUUCUGGAGACUGGGAAAUCUACAUUCAAGAUUGCUCACCUUUUCUUUUUUUAAGCCUACUCUCUCCAUGGCAGCUUGUUCAACAUGCAAAAAACCCACAAUUUCAGAUGAAGAAACCCACAGCCCAUAUGAAGAUCUGCACUACUUGGAUCUCCAAAUCUAGCCUUAUUAGAAGAGCCCAGUCCUUCCUCCCUUCCUGUCCCUGCCACAUUUUCUGUGAGAUGACAUUAUGCCAAUGAACCAAAAAUCUGAAAAGUCUUUACUCCUGAUUCCACAGAUAAUCUCAGUAUAUAAUGUUAUCCUAAUCCAGGAGUCCAUACAUUUACACAUAGCUGCGCACCACAGGUGAGAAGGGUUGCGAUCUAUCAAGAAACAUCCCAACUGGCAGUAUCUGUACAUUUCCGAAUAUGAAACAACAAUCUUCCCUUUGAAACAUUUUCUCAGUACCCAUAAGCAGGUUCUCAAUGCUUUCUCUACAUCUGUCUUAAUGUAAAGGUCAGAUCAGCAAUCCUUGAGGUACCCUACCUCCCUGAAACGGAAGUCUCAGAUGGGGAGCAGAAUAAACCCCAGAGUAUUGGAGAUAAGUGCUUUCA